GUGCUCAUUUCAGCAUCACAUAAACUAAAAUGUGAAUGAUAGAGAAAAGAUUAGCAUGGAACCCUUAUAAGGAUGACACACAAAUGCAAGAAGUAUCCCAUACUUAA
Small nuclear RNA from Sorex araneus (European shrew), 107 nucleotides. The record is from RefSeq and is a predicted model, not a curated record. NCBI's taxonomy places the organism in Eukaryota, Metazoa, Chordata, Mammalia, Eulipotyphla, Soricidae.